UUUCCGUAGGUGAACCUGCGGAAGGAUCAUUCAUAAUAAGUGUUUUAUGGCACUUUUUUAAAUCCAUAUCCACCUUGUGUGCAAUGUCAGGGUUGGUCUCUUUUGAUCAGCCCCAAACAUCAACUGUUAUCUCAACUCUUUGUCUGAAGAAUAUUAUGAAUAAAACAAUUCAAAAUACAACUUUCAACAACGGAUCUCUUGGCUCUC
This 207-nucleotide unclassified non-coding RNA is filed under the name plant metagenome. Its description in RNAcentral is "partial contains small subunit ribosomal RNA, internal transcribed spacer 1, and 5.8S ribosomal RNA". The record is from RNAcentral.